RNAcentral lists this ribosomal RNA (133 nucleotides) under Staphylococcus aureus. RNAcentral's name for it is "partial 23S ribosomal RNA". It matches the Rfam family "Bacterial large subunit ribosomal RNA", at positions 2792 to 2925 of the family's 2925-position model. The record is from RNAcentral. Lineage: Bacteria; Bacillati; Bacillota; Bacilli; Caryophanales; Staphylococcaceae.
GCCCCCCUCAAGAUGAGAUUUCCCAACUUCGGUUAUAAGAUCCCUCAAAGAUGAUGAGGUUAAUAGGUUCGAGGUGGAAGCAUGGUGACAUGUGGAGCUGACGAAUACUAAUCGAUCGAAGACUUAAUCAAAA